Molecule: ribosomal RNA, 380 nt
Filed under: uncultured eukaryote
Lineage: Eukaryota
Description: partial 18S ribosomal RNA
Rfam family: Eukaryotic small subunit ribosomal RNA
Source: RNAcentral
CAAUAGCGUAUAUUAAAGUUGUUGCAGUUAAAAAGCUCGUAGUUGGAUUUGUGGCGUACGGUGUGUUCCGGGCACUUGUUGUCUGAGUAACCUGCUGUUGCCAUCCUUGGGUGGAACCUGUGUGGCAUUAGGUUGUCGUGCAGGGGAUGCCCAUCAUUUACUGUGAAAAAAUUAGAGUGUUCAAAGCAGGCUUAUGCCGUUGAAUAUAUUAGCAUGGAAUAAUGAGAUAGGACUUUUUUGCUAUUUUGUUGGUUUGCGCAAGAAGGUAAUGAUUAAUAGGGACAGUUGGGGGUAUUCGUAUUCCAUUGUCAGAGGUGAAAUUCUUGGAUUUUUGGAAGACGAACUACUGCGAAAGCAUUUACCAAGGACGUUUUCAUUAA